UGCGUAGGCGGAUUAAUAAGUCAGUGGUGAAAACCUGCAGCUUAACUGUAGAACUGCCAUUGAUACUGUUAGUCUUGAGUACGGUCAAGGUAGGCGGAAUGUGUAAUGUAGCGGUGAAAUGCUUAGAUAUUACACAGAACACCGAUUGCGAAGGCAGCUUACUGGACCAUUACUGACGCUGGGGCACGAAAGCGUGGGUAGCAAACAGGAUUAGAUACCCUGGUAGUCC
Molecule: ribosomal RNA, 229 nt
Filed under: uncultured bacterium
Lineage: Bacteria
Description: partial 16S ribosomal RNA
Rfam family: Bacterial small subunit ribosomal RNA
Source: RNAcentral